This 19-nucleotide unclassified non-coding RNA is filed under the name Mus musculus (house mouse). RNAcentral's name for it is "oocyte_clustered_small_RNA10027". The record is from RNAcentral. Lineage: Eukaryota; Metazoa; Chordata; Mammalia; Rodentia; Muridae.
AGACUCUGAGGACAAAGUA